AUUGAACGCUGGCGGCGUGCUUAACACAUGCAAGUCGAGCGGUAACGCGGGGGCAACCCUGGCGACGAGCGGCGAACGGGUGCGUAAUGCAUGGGAAUCUGCCUGAUAGUGGGGAAUAACCCGGGGAAACUCGGGCUAAUGCCGCAUACGACCUACGGGUGAAAGCGGGGGACCCGUAAGGCCUCGCGCUAUCGGAUGAGCCCAUGUCGGAUUAGCUAGUUGGUAGGGUAACGGCCUACCAAGGCUACGAUCCGUAGCUGGUCUGAGAGGACGGCCAGCCACACUGGGACUGAGACACGGCCCAGACUCCUACGGAGGCAGCAGUGGGGAAUAUUGGACAAUGGGGAACCCUGAUCCAGCGACGCCGCGUGUGUGAAGAAGGCCU
Molecule: ribosomal RNA, 385 nt
Filed under: uncultured bacterium
Lineage: Bacteria
Description: bacterial SSU rRNA
Rfam family: Bacterial small subunit ribosomal RNA
Source: RNAcentral